CCUACGGGUGGCAGCAGUGAGGAAUAUUGGUCAAUGGGCGGAAGCCUGAACCAGCCAAGUCGCGUGAGGGAAUACGGCCCUAUGGGUUGUAAACCUCUUUUGCCGGGGAGCAAGGGCGGGGACGUGUCCCCGCCCGGAGAGUACCCGGAGAAAAAGCAUCGGCUAACUCCGUGCCCGCAGCCGCGGUAAUACGGAGGAUGCGAGCGUUAUCCGGAUUUAUUGGGUUUAAAGGGUGCGUAGGCGGUCUUUUAAGUCAGCGGUAAAAAUUCGGGGCUCAACCCCGUCCGGCCGUUGACACUGGGGACCUAGAGUGGGCGAGAAGAAGGCGGAAUGCGUGGUGUAGCGGUGAAAUGCAUAGAUAUCACGCAGAACCCCGAUUGCGAAGGCAGCCUACCGGCGCACUACUGACGCUGAGGCACGAAAGUGCGGGGAUCGAACAGGAUUAGAUACCCCAGUAGUC
This 460-nucleotide ribosomal RNA is filed under the name uncultured bacterium. RNAcentral's name for it is "partial 16S ribosomal RNA". It matches the Rfam family "Bacterial small subunit ribosomal RNA", at positions 338 to 795 of the family's 1533-position model. The record is from RNAcentral.